AGAGUUUGAUCAUGGCUCAGGAUGAACGCUAGCGAUAGGCCUAACACAUGCAAGUCGAGGGGCAGCACAUGAGUAGCAAUACGAUGGUGGCGACCGGCGCACGGGUGAGUAACACGUAUGCAACCUACCUCUAACAGGGGGAUAACCCGUUGAAAGACGGACUAAUACCCCAUAAUACAGGGGCUCCGCAUGGAGAUAUUUGUUAAAGAUUUUAUCGGUUAGAGAUGGGCAUGCGUUCCAUUAGCUAGUUGGUGAGGUAACGGCUCACCAAGGCGACGAUGGAUAGGGGAACUGAGAGGUUUAUCCCCCACACUGGAACUGAGACACGGUCCAGACUCCUACGGGAGGCAGCAGUGAGGAAUAUUGGUCAAUGGAGGCAACUCUGAACCAGCCAAGUCGCGUGAAGGAUGAAGGUCUUAUGGAUUGUAAACUUCUUUUGCAGGGGAAUAAAUAGCGGUACGUGUACCGUUUUGCAUGUACCCUGCGAAUAAGGAUCGGCUAACUCCGUGCCAGCAGCCGCGGUAAUACGGAGGAUCCGAGCGUUAUCCGGAUUUAUUGGGUUUAAAGGGUGCGCAGGCGGGAGAUUAAGUCGGCGGUGAAAUUUUGCAGCUCAACUGUAAAAGUGCCUUCGAUACUGGUUUCCUUGAGUGUGGAUGAAGUAGGCGGAAUUUGUGGUGUAGCGGUGAAAUGCUUAGAUAUCACGAGGAACUCCGAUUGCGCAGGCAGCUUACUAAACCACUACUGACGCUCAGGCACGAAGGCGUGGGGAUCAAACAGGAUUAGAUACCCUGGUAGUCCACGCAGUAAACGAUGAUUACUGGCUGUUUGCGAUACAAUGUAAGCGGCUGAGCGAAAGCGUUAAGUAAUCCACCUGGGGAGUACGUUCGCAAGAAUGAAACUCAAAGGAAUUGACGG
This 915-nucleotide ribosomal RNA is filed under the name uncultured bacterium. RNAcentral describes it as "bacterial SSU rRNA". It matches the Rfam family "Bacterial small subunit ribosomal RNA", at positions 8 to 916 of the family's 1533-position model. The record is from RNAcentral.